UCCAACGAAAUAAGUUACCGUGUAUGCC
This 28-nucleotide non-coding RNA is filed under the name Bombyx mori (domestic silkworm). The record is from RNAcentral. Lineage: Eukaryota; Metazoa; Arthropoda; Insecta; Lepidoptera; Bombycidae.